GGGAUGGCACGUGACCGGUCUACCACCGGGAUGUUCAUAACCCUUUGUUGUCCGACUCUGUUGCCUCCGGGGCGACCCUGCCUUCGGGCGGGGGCUCCGGGUGGACACUUCAAACUCUUGCGUAACUUUGCAGUCUGAGUAAACUUAAUUAAUAAAUUAAAACUUUUAACAACGGAUCUCUUGGUUCUGGCAUCGAUGAAGAACGCAGCGAAAUGCGAUAAGUAAUGUGAAUUGCAGAAUUCAGUGAAUCAUCGAAUCUUUGAACGCACAUUGCGCCCCCUGGUAUUCCGGGGGGCAUGCCUGUUCGAGCGUCAUUUCACCACUCAAGCCUCGCUUGGUAUUGGGCAACGCGGUCCGCCGCGUGCCUCAAAUCGACCGGCUGGGUCUUCUGUCCCCUAAGCGUUGUGGAAACUAUUCGCUAAAGGGUGCUCGGGAGGCUACGCCGUAAAACAAACCCAUUUCUAAGGUUGACCUCGGAUCAGGUAGGGAUACCCGCUGAACUUAAGCAUAUCAAAAGCCGGGAGAGAGGAUCAUUACAAGUGACCCCGGUCUAACC
RNAcentral lists this ribosomal RNA (556 nucleotides) under Cladosporium cladosporioides. Its description in RNAcentral is "eukaryotic LSU rRNA". The stretch from base 161 to 314 matches the Rfam family "5.8S ribosomal RNA". Lineage: Eukaryota; Fungi; Ascomycota; Dothideomycetes; Cladosporiales; Cladosporiaceae. The record is from RNAcentral.